RNAcentral lists this ribosomal RNA (157 nucleotides) under uncultured bacterium. Its description in RNAcentral is "partial 16S ribosomal RNA". It matches the Rfam family "Bacterial small subunit ribosomal RNA", at positions 338 to 492 of the family's 1533-position model. The record is from RNAcentral.
CCUACGGGAGGCAGCAGUGAGGAAUAUUGGUCAAUGGGCGAAAGCCUGAACCAGCCAUGCCGCGUGCAGGAAGACUGCCCUAUGGGUUGUAAACUGCUUUUAUACAGGAAGAAACACUCCCUCGUGAGGGAGCUUGACGGUACUGUAUGAAUAAGCA